AGACGCACUGGAUUUAGGUUCCAGCGCCGCAAGGUGUGGAGGUUCGAGUCCUCUCAUCCGCACCA
Molecule: transfer RNA, 65 nt
Filed under: Hyphomonas sp.
Lineage: Bacteria; Pseudomonadati; Pseudomonadota; Alphaproteobacteria; Hyphomonadales; Hyphomonadaceae
Description: tRNA-OTHER
Source: RNAcentral